This is a small nuclear RNA of Delphinapterus leucas (beluga whale), 106 nucleotides long. NCBI's taxonomy places the organism in Eukaryota, Metazoa, Chordata, Mammalia, Artiodactyla, Monodontidae. The record is from Ensembl.
GCACUCGCCUCGGCAGCACAUAUACUGAAAUUGGAACGAUACCGAGAAGAUUAGCAUUGCCCUGCGCGAGGAUGACACACGUAUUUGUGAGGCAUUCCAUGGUUCU